GGAGAGGUCGCAUAGUCUGGUCUAGUGCGGUCGCCUCGAAAGCGACUAGGCGUUUAUCCGUCUCGUGGGUUCGAAUCCCACCCUCUCCG
Molecule: transfer RNA, 89 nt
Filed under: bacterium
Lineage: Bacteria
Description: tRNA-Ser
Rfam family: tRNA
About the family: Transfer RNA (tRNA) molecules are approximately 80 nucleotides in length.
Source: RNAcentral